This 4153-nucleotide long non-coding RNA is filed under the name Marmota monax (woodchuck). The record is from RNAcentral. Lineage: Eukaryota; Metazoa; Chordata; Mammalia; Rodentia; Sciuridae.
CGACUGACUUUUUCCUUUUCUGUUUUAGAAUCGGUUCCAAACAGUCAAGCCUGCCAGAAAAAACAGACAAACUCUCAAGAACAACAAUGCCUAUUAUGUGUGGUGGAGGAGCCGCCAGAUUUUGAUUACCGGACAGACAUUAACUCCUUUGGUGUCUCAUGCAAGAAAUGCCAAGUCUGAAUCCAGAUAUUUUCCAGAAUAGCAUGAGAUCUGCAAUUUACAGUGUCUUCUGCAAAAAAAAAAAAAAAAAGCAACUGAGAGAAGGAAGUGCAAGUUAAAGACCACAUCUCCUGGUUUCUCGAAUUCUGCCAUGACUCUUCCUGGUAAAUGGACAGACUGAGUACCUGUGCUCUUCCUUUUGCAGGCCUUAGGUUGUGGGCCAGAAGCACGUUACUCUACCCACCUGUCCCACCUGUGUUGUCUUGAUGUCUAAAGGACUGUCACAUUCUGCCCUCAUUGAGAAAAUGCAUGGGUUCCUGGAGGCUACCUCUUACAGUAAAACUUUGAGAAAGAAGAAUCCUUGCAAACUCUGUGAUCAGCAUCUCCCCCCCCCCACCCCAAUAGACUCCCUGAAGGCUGUCAGACUCCAUCCUGCUUUGAGAUCUCAGAUAAAGCAGAGAGCAAUGCGAUUUUCAGAGGGAGGAUGAUAAUAUAAGUAUUUAGACCAUCGUGUGUAUGUAUAUCCUAUGUGUGUAUAAAUACUAUAUAUUUAUUUUAGUAUUUCAUUUGUUCUUUCAUUUACUCUUUAAUACAUAUUUACAAAGAGUCCUCUGUGCAGUGGCUGUGGAUAACCAAGUAAGGUAUAAUCACAAUGUCUACCUUUUAGCCAGAUCUUAUUGCAUAUCAGCAUUGUGUUAAACAUUUUACAUUCAAAUGCAUGAAUGCACUUAAUCCUUAAAAAAAAAAAAACCUGAAGAAACAGCUCUAUUUUACAUCUUAGUAAAUUGACUCCCAGAAAAUUUAAGGACACACAUGUAGUCAAUAUCAGAGUAGGAUUCACAUACAGGUAUGUUUGAUGCAAAAUGCAUUUCCCUAUUUACUUUGAUGUUGUCUUCCCAAAGAUGAAUCAAAAGAUAAAACCACAUUAACUUUCUUUCUUGGAAUUCCCCUUCUGUUUGGUGAGGAAAGAAACACAUGUGAUCUAAUUCUGUUGAAAGGGAGGAGAAGGUAGGAGAGGGUAGAGGAAGCCUCUGUGGCUAGAAAUUCACUCAGCAGAGAGAAACUAGAGAGAUUUUGGCUGAGUGUGUCUUUGUUGGGUAUCAAGAGAACUGAACUCACCCAGAGGCAGAGAUAUUUCUGGCUCAAAGAGUAAUUCUGUCACACAGAAUGGAGGGACUGGUCAGUGGGAAAUCCUUUAAGGCUGUUUCUCCACUUAAUUGCCCUUAUCUUUUCCUUCUUUUCAUUCUUAGGUUAUUUCCAGUCCUUACUAAAAGAGGAACCAGGGAGACUGUGAACUCAGCCAGGUGGAAGUGAUAAUGAUUUUAGAGAAACCACAGGAGAAGGAAGAGCUCCUCCAACCGUCUUCUCACUACCACAAUGGGACCCAUACGGAUUAACUCUUUCAAGGAUGGAGGUGUCUCCUCUCCCUAGAAAUAAAAAUGCAAGUUUUACGUAGGUUUUAGUGUUGUGUGGAGGGAAAACAAGGACUGAUCUAUUUGGUUCUCUUCACUUGAUUCACCCUGAAGGGCUUGCUGCCCUAGAGAUAAGUGGACAGAUGAAGAAAAGUAGUGUCCCCAGAUACCCCGAUGAAGCCAAUGCUCUCUGAAAGGAAGCAGCCACACAUUUAGCCCAGGGAGACCUUUUUGCAUCCAGGAGAGUGAUUUGGGUCAAAGAAAAGGAGAACAGUGACAUUACUGCCAGACUGCUUCUCUAACUAAACCUUUAGCUCUUCUGUUCAGGACAAAUGGGAAUCAGCCAGCAUAGAUGUGACCUGUCCUGUCUGCUGGUAACCACAGUAUCAUAAUUCAUUGGAGUUUCACUUUAAGUAUUUUAAGAAUUACCUGUGAGAUUUUGAGGGUCAAUAUUUUAGACUAUCAUCACUAUUGGACUAUUCAUUUGAAUACUUCUGGGGUUUAUGCCUCUUUUCAAAAGAAACAGUGGGCUUCCCUAUAUUCAUUACAAAGUCUUCCUAGUCUUCAAAUCUUCCUGUGAAGUGUCUCUUCUCUAGUCUUUUAAGUAUACCGUGUGACUGUAUGUCCUCCUCUGAGAAGUGUCUGUUCAGGUCCUUGGCCCAUUUAUUGAUUGGGUUGUUUGUUCUCUUAUUGUCUAAUUUUUUGAGUUCUUUGUAUACUCUGGAUAUUAGGGCUCUAUCUGAAGUGUGAGGAGUAAAGAUUUGUUCCCAGGGUGUAGGCUCCCUAUUUACCUCUCUUAUUGUUUCUUUUGCUGAGAAAAAACUUUUUAGUUUGAGUAAGUCCCAUUUGUUGAUUCUAGUUAUUAACUUUUGUGCUAUGGGUGUCCUAUUGAGGAAUUUGGAGCCCGACCCCACCGAAUGUAGAUCGUAGCCAACUUUUUCUUCUAUCAGACGGCGUGUCUCUGAUUUGAUAUCAAGCUCCUUGAUCCAUUUUGAAUUCACUUUUGUGCAUGGCGAGAGAAAGGGAUUCAGUUUCAUUUUGUUGCAUAUGGAUUUCCAGUUUUCCCAGCACCAUUUGUUGAAGAUGCUAUCCUUCCUCCAUUGCAUGCUUUUAGCCCCUUUAUCAAAUAUAAGAUAGUUGUAGUUUUGUGGAUUGGUUUCUGUGUCCUCUAUUCUGUACCAUUGGUCCACCCGCCUGUUUUGGUACCAGUACCAUGCUGUUUUUGUUACUAUUGCUCUGUAGUAUAGUUUGAAGUCUGGUAUCGCUAUACCGCCUGAUUCACACUUCCUGCUUAGCAUUGUUUUUGCUAUUCUGGGUCUUUUAUUUUUCCAUAUGAAUUUCAUGAUUGCUUUCUCUAUUUCUACAAGAAAUGCCGUUGGGAUUUUGAUUGGCAUUGCAUUAAACCUAUAGAGAACUUUUGGUAAUAUCGCCAUUUUGAUGAUGUUAGUUCUGCCUAUCCAUGAACAGGGUAUAUUUUUCCAUCUUCUAAGAUCUUCUUCUAUUUCUCUCUUUAGGGUUCUGUAGUUUUCAUUGUAUAAGUCUUUCACCUCUUUUGUUAGGUUGAUUCCCAAGUAUUUUAUUUUUUUUGAAGAUAUUGUGAAUGGAGUGGUUGUCCUCAUUUCCAUUUCAGAGGAUUUGUCGCUGAUAUACAGGAAUGCCUUUGAUUUAUGCGUGUUGAUUUUAUAUCCUGCCACUUUGCUGAAUUCAUUUAUUAGCUCUAAUAGUUUCUUUGUAGAGCCUUUUGGGUCUGCUAGGUAUAGAAUCAUAUCAUCUGCAAAUAGUGAUAAUUUAAGUUCUUCUUUUCCUAUUUUUAUGCCUUUAAUUUCUUUCGUCUGUCUAAUUGCUCUGGCCAGUGUUUCGAGAACUAUGUUGAACAGAAGUGGAGAGAGAGGGCAUCCCUGUCUUGUUCCAGAUUUUAGAGGGAAUGCCUUCAGUUUUUCUCCAUUCAGAAUGAUGCUAGCCUGAGGCUUAGCAUAGAUUGCUUUUACAAUAUUGAGGUAUGUUCCUGUUAUCCCUAGUUUUUCUAGAGUUUUGAACAUAAAGGGAUGCUGUACUUUGUCGAAUGCUUUUUCCGCAUCUAUCGAGAUGAUCAUAUGGUUCUUAUUUUUAAGUCUAUUGAUGUGGUGAAUAACAUUUAUUGAUUUCCGUAUAUUGAACCAGCCUUGCAUCCCAGGGAUGAAUCCUACUUGAUCAUGGUGUACAAUUUUUUUGAUAUGUUUUUGUAUCCGAUUCGCCAGAAUUUUAUUGAGGAUUUUUGCAUCUAGGUUCAUUAGAGAUAUUGGUCUGUAGUUUUCUUUCUUUGAAGUGUCUUUGUCUGGUUUAGGUAUCAGGGUGAUGUUGGCCUCAUAGAAUGAAUUUGGAAGUUCUCCCUCUUUUUCUAUUUCCUGAAGUAGCUUGAAAAGUAUUGGUAUUAGUUCUUCUUUAAAGGUUUUGUAAAAUUCUGCUGUAUACCCAUCUGGUCCUGGGCUUUUCUUAGUUGGUAGUCUUUUUAUGGUUUCUUCUAUUUCCUCAAUUGAUAUUGGUCUGUUUAGGUUUUCUAUAUCCUCCUGACUCAAUCUGGGCAGAUCAUAUGACUUNGGGGA